RNAcentral lists this ribosomal RNA (697 nucleotides) under uncultured bacterium. RNAcentral's name for it is "bacterial SSU rRNA". It matches the Rfam family "Bacterial small subunit ribosomal RNA", at positions 32 to 715 of the family's 1533-position model. The record is from RNAcentral.
AACGCUAGCUACAGGCUUAACACAUGCAAGUCGAGGGGCAGCGGAGGAGUUAGCUUGCUAACUUCAGACGGCGACCGGCGCACGGGUGAGUAACACGUAUCCAACCUGGCCGUUACUCGGGAAUAGCCUUCCGAAAGGAAGAUUAAUGCUCGAUGGUAUAUAUUUAUCGCAUGAUUUCUAUAUUAAAGAUUUAUCGGUAGCGGAUGGGGAUGCGUUCCAUUAGAUAGUUGGCGGGGUAACGGCCCACCAAGUCUUCGAUGGAUAGGGGUUCUGAGAGGAAGGUCCCCCACACUGGAACUGAGACACGGUCCAGACUCCUACGGGAGGCAGCAGUGAGGAAUAUUGGUCAAUGGACGCAAGUCUGAACCAGCCAAGUAGCGUGAAGGAUGACUGCCCUAUGGGUUGUAAACUUCUUUUAUACGGGAAUAAAAGACAUUACGUGUAGUGUUUUGCAUGUACCGUUAUGAAUAAGCAUCGGCUAAUUCCGUGCCAGCAGCCGCGGUAAUACGGAAGAUGCGAGCGUUAUCCGGAUUUAUUGGGUUUAAAGGGAGCGUAGGCGGGUUUUUAAGUCAGCUGUGAAAGUUUGAGGCUCAACCUUAAAAUUGCAGUUGAUACUGGAGACCUUGAGUGCGGUAAAGGUAGGCGGAAUUCGUGGUGUAGCGGUGAAAUGCUUAGAUAUCACGAAGAACUCCGAUUG